This 241-nucleotide ribosomal RNA is filed under the name uncultured bacterium. RNAcentral's name for it is "partial 16S ribosomal RNA". It matches the Rfam family "Bacterial small subunit ribosomal RNA", at positions 116 to 353 of the family's 1533-position model. The record is from RNAcentral.
CGUGGGUAACUUGCCUUAUAGUGGGGGAUGGCCUUUCGAAAGGAAGAUUAAUACCGCAUAAGAUUGUAGUAUCGCAUGAUAUAGCAAUUAAAGGAGCAAUUCGCUAUAAGAUGGACCCGCGUCGCAUUAGCUAGUUGGUGAGGUAAUGGCUCACCAAGGCGACGAUGCGUAGCCGACCUGAGAGGGUGAUCGGCCACAUUGGGACUGAGACACGGCCCAGACUCCUACGGGAGGCAGCAUG